GAUGAAGUCCGGCUCCCGUAAGAGUCCGGAUGAAAUCUACCUGCAGUCGGAGUCGGGGACAAAGUCCGGCUCCCGUAGGAGUCUGGAUGAAGUCUAGCAGGUAGAAACUUGGGUAGAGUCCGUCCGUCGUGAAGAAUCUGAUCGACGCUGGUGGGGGUUUAUCCGUCGGCAGAACAUGAAAAUGUUGCAGAGGCUCGGCCGCCGGAGAGGUUCGGAAAGAUGUCGCCGAAGGUCGGUAGUCGGUAG
RNAcentral lists this long non-coding RNA (246 nucleotides) under Elaeis guineensis (African oil palm). Its description in RNAcentral is "long non-coding RNA (EGUI_LNC036351)". Lineage: Eukaryota; Viridiplantae; Streptophyta; Magnoliopsida; Arecales; Arecaceae. The record is from RNAcentral.